UGGGGAAUCUUAGACAAUGGGGGCAACCCUGAUCUAGCCAUGCCGCGUGAGUGAUGAAGGCCUUAGGGUUGUAAAGCUCUUUCAGUGGGGAAGAUAAUGACGGUACCCACAGAAGAAGCCCCGGCUAACUCCGUGCCAGCAGCCGCGGUAAUACGGAGGGGGCUAGCGUUGUUCGGAAUUACUGGGCGUAAAGCGCACGUAGGCGGAUCGGAAAGUCGGGGGUGAAAUCCCGGGGCUCAACCCCGGAACUGCCUUCGAAACUAUCGGUCUGGAGUCCGAGAGAGGUGAGUGGAAUUCCGAGUGUAGAGGUGAAAUUCGUAGAUAUUCGGAGGAACACCAGUGGCGAAGGCGGCUCACUGGCUCGGUACUGACGCUGAGGUGCGAAAGCGUGGGGAGCAAACAGGAUUAGAUACCCCCGUAGUCC
This 424-nucleotide ribosomal RNA is filed under the name uncultured prokaryote. Its description in RNAcentral is "bacterial SSU rRNA". It matches the Rfam family "Bacterial small subunit ribosomal RNA", at positions 355 to 796 of the family's 1533-position model. The record is from RNAcentral.